UAUUUCCCAGGCCUUCCAUUUACACCGAAGUGGUACGUUAAUGGAGUUAGUGGAUCCAAGGCUCGGAUCAGAAUUCAACAAGGUUGAAGCAGAGAGAAUGAUUAAAAUAGCACUCUUAUGCACCAAUGCGUCGCCUUCACUAAGGCCAACCAUGUCUGAAGUGGUAAGCAUGCUGGAAGGAUCUUCUAACAUUCCGGAUGUAAUCCCUGAAGCCGGUGGUUUGAGUGAAGACUUGAGGUUUAAAACUCUAAGAGACCAUCCAAGAGAAAUGAAUAGUUCGGGUUUGGAAGGAAGUCUGUCUUAUUAUUCAUCGUCAGCCAGCUUCUUGCCUGGUUCUUCCUCUACCGAUGAUGUCCGUGAAAUUAACGCAGAGGCAUAUUUGAAGUUUAAGGCCAUGAGAGACAGUCAUAUUCAUAUGGAAAGACAAAGAUCGGUUGCCCAAGUAUCAACACCAGUCCCCUCAUGGACUGGCUCUUCAAAAUCUGCCCAUGAUCUUCACAACACAAUUUGAGUCCAGCGGAUGUGCAAAAUCAUCCGCAAGCUAGUUUCAAGUUUCAACAUUCAACUUUUUUGUAACCUACGUCUAUGUGUCAUACCUUCUCGCAUCAUCUUUGUAUCUAAAAUUUUCAGCGACUCAACCUCGGAAACAAGCGAGUCAACAACUCGUUCUUCGUUCUCAGUAGUCACCGUCGACUCCUCGGGGUUUUUAAUUAAAUACCCUUUAAUAGUUUUAAAAUUAUUUAAAUACCCCCUCCCUUUUUGGUUUUCAUGGAUACCCUAACAAAUGUGAGCAAAGUCGGAAAUACCCUUAAUGAAUGCAUCAAAUGCACUCAAUGAAUUGUCUUCAUAUUUCUUUCCUCAUUUCUUUCACUUAAAUCUAUUUUUGCUGCCGAUUCUUUCAAAAUCUCUUAGAAUCUCUCAAAAUCUCUCAUAACUUCUUACACAAAUACAAUUAUGUAUUCAUUUCUUUAACACCCACUCUUUCUUUAAAGGUGCAUUGCUUAUUAAACAACCCAAUAAGGUAUGUUAAUGUUGUUGGGUUUUAAAUUUUUUAAUUUUUAGGAAAAUUUAGAAAUUUUCCUCACAUUACAAUAUUUUAUUUUCACCAUUUUUUCUUAUACGUAGAAAUAUAUGCAAUGUAGGUUGUUUAAUUAUAUUUUUCAGCAAUAUAACUUAUUUAUGGCGAAAAUAUUUCGAGUCGUGCAUUCUUUUGAUACCGUGUACGUCAUAUAGUUAGUCGUGUAAGUAAUAUAGUCGUGUAAGUCGUGUAGGUCAUGUAAGAAAUAUAGUCGUGUAGGUCAUGUAAGAAAUAUAGUCGUGUAAGUCGUGUAGGUCAUGUAGGUCGUGUAGUUACUUGUAUAUGAAAUUUAAUAUUAUUGUUUUUAUUGUAUUAUCAGAUAUGGUUUUGGUACGCGUGUCUAUUCUCUUCAAUGGUGAAUGAAUUAAACAAAAUGACGAGUAUAAGUUCAAAAGUUCAAAGGCUAAAGGGAUAAUGAUACCACGAUCGACAACAUAUGCCGCAUUGGUGGAGAAGAUAGCUGAAGUUAUUGAUAUAGAUACUUCGGAAUUCAAAAUCACAAUGAAGUUCAAACUUAAGACAUCUGAUCCUAUGCCACCAGUUACAAUUCAAACCAAUGAUAAUUUGGAAUUUUUUUAAAUUCCAAUUUAAUUUCACUUCUUUUUUUAAUAAUUUUCAUUGACAUUUUCUGCAUAGCAGCAAAUAUAAAUUCUUAGCACAAAUUAAGUCUUUAAAGAACUAAAUUAAUCUAAUGAUUAAUGGAAAAUUCGUGUAAUUUUAAAGUCGCAAUUAAACAUAUUACAGCCAUUUAAAAAGUUUUUUUCUUUUUUUUUUUUUAUCUUCAAAGUGCUUUCUUCCUCUGGCCAAGCAUACAAGCAUACAUGAGGAAUGCUUGCAUAUAAUUAAUCCAUGAAAUCAAUUAAGAAAAAAAAUAUCAGCUAUAGGAAAUUAAUGUAAUGUUAUACACAUAAAAACACCAUUCGCAGUGAUAAAAUAUUUUCACUCAUAACUAGACAUAUCAUGACUUACCAUGACUUAUAAUUGGAAAUUAAGAAUCUCUCUAACUAAUGACAUUUCACAAGGUAAAGGUAUAUGUACAAUUCCAAUUUAUUGUGAGCCUAAUUAAACUAAAUGUAAUAUGCAGAUUCUAUUGACAAGAAACAAAAUGUGGAAUUGAAGGUCGUGUAAUUGUGUAAUACAAGAAGAUCGUAUAAUUGUAUAAUACAUGAAGGUCGUAUAAACAUGCAAUACAUGAAGGUCGUGUAAACGUGUAAUACAUGAAGGUCGUGUAAUCGUGCAAUACAUGAAGGUCGUGUAAUCGUGCAAUACAUGAAGGUCGUGUAAAACACAACCUUGAAUCUUACAUAACCUUACACGACCAAAUCUUAUAUUACAUAACAAAAUUAUAAUCAGCACAAUCCAUUAAUUUUUCACAAUUUGCAUGCAGCAAAACAACUAGAAAUUUGUUUUCGAACAUGUUAUGAGAGACCCACAACUAAUUAAUCUAUUUUUUCAAUAUAAAACCCUAACUUUUUAUUUUUUUCCCUUGAAUAGUAACAAGAAAACUAAUUACAUGGAAUUACUUGUCUCAACUAGUUACAUUCUGACAAUUUUGCAGUAAAUGAUCAACUCUCUCCGGCGAUUAUGUAGUGACGAACUAUGCUUCACUUUCUCAGUUGUGGCAGCUUCUCCUUCUCAGGCUUAGUUUGCUCGUGUUGAAGUUCGAUUUACCAUAUAUGGAGAAUGAAUGUUUGUUUCAGUAGAGGUGAUGUCAGUGAGGGAAUUGCAGUGUUUGUUUGUUUGAGUUUGAUAAUUGAGGGAAUUGCAGCAGAUGAGUAUUUGUUUGCUUCAGUAGAGAAGGGAGAGGUGCUGUCCGUUGAGUUGAAAUGUUUUAAAAUGAGGAUAACUUAGUAAUUUCCUAUCCGUUUUGAAAGGGUAUCGAUGAAAAUUUCGGCAAAAAUAGAUUUUAGGGUAUUGAGAUAAUUUUUGAAGUAUGGAGGUGUACCGGGCGCAAUUGGCUCCGACUCCUCCUCCUUCUCUUCGCUAACACCACUUCCGAGAUGGACUGAGUCAACUCGGUCCUUGAUGAUGGCCUCAGAUUUUAUCAAAUUAGUUUCUUUUUCUCUCUGAUUUCGAGAAAGUUUGUACCUUGUCUCUCCGGAGUUAUUAAUAUCAGUUCGGCGGUUGGGGAUAGAACGGCAUCGUAGAGUGGAGGUGGUUUCUUUGUAUUCUGACGUGGAUUGAUCUGAUUGGUCGGCGGGAAUGCAGUCGUAAGAGGGAAAAUCGUCGAGCGUAUCAAAGAAUUCGUCGUCCUCAUCGUUGGUUUUAUUCCGUUCGUCCAUUCAGCAACCAGAGACUGGGGUUUCAGUUUCCGGUUAUCGCUUAUCAGGAUCGAAUUUGCUUGCAAUUCACCGUGUUUGCAGCCUUCGUGUCAUCAUUUUUUUUUUGGUUCGGUUAAUAACAUUUGCAUCCCUAAUUUUUAACCAUUUCUCAUGAAUAUAUAUAUUUUUUCUUUUUAGCUCAAAAUGUCGUAUAUUCUUUCUAACACAUUAAACUUUUUUCUUUUCAAUUUUUUUUAAAUAACCUUUGCAAUAUUCAACUUUACCAUUAGUAAUUGUUUGUGACUUAGGGGCCUUAUGCUUCUUUUGAUUUGCUGACUUAAUUAACUUAAUUUUAAUCAAUUAAGGUAUUAAGUCUUUUUAUUUUUAAUUUAAUGAAAAUUUUUAAGUCAAUUCUUUUUUACUUUUUACUUAAUCUAAAGACUAAAAAGUCUGGAUAUUAUCAUUAAAAGAUAUUCUCCAAAAUAUUUCUAUUUAAUUUAUUAAUUUUUAUCUUUACCUAAAUUAAAUUUUAAUAAUUAACAUUAUUACACGUUUCUAUAACUUGUGAUAAUAUAAUGGUAGACUAUUAUUGUUUUUAUCUUUUUAUUUUCUUCUAGUUAGCAUUAUUUUUCUUCAUAAUUUUUAUGAAUAUUUUUCAUAUAAAAACAUCAUAAACUAUAAUGAUGUAUACUAAUUUAGAAUAUUAAUUUAUAAGUGCACAAAUGUAAAAAAUACUUGUUUUUAGAUUUUUUAAGUUAAAAAAAUAACUUAAUAUUUUUUUUAGAGAUUCGAACAAAAAAUAAAUAUAUUAUUAGAUUCAAACAUUCAGCUUUAUUAAGAUUCAGACUAAUUCAAGUUUAUUCAAUUUUUUUAGAUAAAAAAAUAAACACCACCUUAGGCUUUAAGUAUACUUUUAUUAUUUUAAUAAGAGUUUAGAUAAUCAGGCAUGUAAUACAAUAAGAACUCAUAUGACCUAUAAUGUGUGUAUAUAUAUAAUCAUUCUCUAAUGAGGCAUCCUUAUUUUGAUAAAGUGAGGAUGUGACUAAUAAAUAAAAUAUAAAUUUCAAUAUACUAAGAGAUAAAAAAAUAUAGAUUUUAAUAAAUUAGAAAUUAUAUUUUUUAUAUUUUAGUGACAUUUUUAUUUUAACAAAAUGAGAAUAUCCUUAUUAAAGAGUAUUUAUAUAUAUAUAUAGAGAGAGAGAGAGAGAGAGAGAGAGAGAGAGAGAGAGAGAAAAUUGUAAGGGAGAGAAGAUUUAUGAACGAAAUAUUCUAGUUGCACUAUAAAAUAAAUAAAUAAAUAAUAUAUAUAUAUAUAUAUAUAUCUAAAAUCUACCAUCCUAAUAGAUUUCAAGUUGUAAUAAAUCCGAAAUUGUAAUCGUUGAAAAGAAAAAUGGUUUGGGACCUUUUUAAUACAAACGGAGAACCAAUAUCCUUUUCCGUGAGAUUUGAGAAACAAGAAUAGCAAACAAGAAAUCAGCUUAUUGUCAUUAUCUGGCUACGCACGAUAUAGGAUCCGGCGGGAAUCGCCAAUCGCCCAUCAUAUACAUACAUUUGUUUUGCAAAUGUAUCUUUCAUCAUUGAAACUAAAUAGUGAAUAAUUAUUUUCUUUCUUUAAUGGGAAAAAGAAAGAAGAGAAAGUUCUUUGCAUGAACAUAAAAAUCUCCAAGUCCACUAAGAAAUGUACUUACAAAAAUAAAAGUCUACUGAGAAAUGUAAAACCAAAAAUUUAUCUUCAAACUAGAGAAAAUUUUUCAAACAACCAAUAGUUAAUGCGCGUAUUUUGUGAAAGAUAGCCAAUGGGAAUGGGAGGUAACGUAAUCAAAUAAUUUAUUGAUUUAUUCAAGUCAUCAAUAUCAAAGUGAGACAUCCAUUUCCAAUUGGAAGAAAAAAAACCAUAUUUUAAUUGCCAAACCGGCGUGGAUUUCUCUCUCUCUCUUUAAGGUCCAAUUAACACACUAAUUAAGUUCAGAUUGUAUAUGGACAUCUGUGACUAAUUGGUUAAUUGAUUCAUUAAACUAUAUCUCUAUAAUCUUUUCUAUCCAUAUUCCAUUCUAAUGUUGCAAUGACAUAUAUAUAAAUAUAUAUAUAUAUAUUGUGUGUGUAUAAGGAAAUUUAAUUAAUUUCGUAACACAUGCAUUAUUGCAUUAAAAUAAUAGUCACUGUUGCCUCAAUUUCGAUGGUCAAAAGCAAAAUAUUUAAAGCAGAAUCCUACAGUUUGACCAUGCAAAAAACCAAUGAAAAUUCAAAUAUCGGGGGUUCCUAUACUAAUAGUUGCGAAUGGGACCAACAAUUCAUAUCUUUCAUUAACCUGUAAGGUGGAAAAAUCCAUAUCGGCGAUUAAUUAAUCAGACAUGCUGCGGAUGAGGUUUAAUGAGAAUCUUAGCAUUGGCAGGAAGUCAACCAUGUGCCGAGACAAUAUUUUUAUUAAAAUAAUGCACUUGGCUUGGAUACAAUUCAGAAUAUGACAAAAACAAAUCUAACUUUAGUUUGACUGGUACUGCAUUCUAAAAUCGUACCAGGACGAAAGACAAAAUCACAUUAGAAGGGUAGUUGGAAUUUUCUUAAUCGAGCUAUUUGCUUGGAAGAUUCAUCAUCCCUGCAUUUAGCAAAUAUAAAAGAAUCGCAAGAUUAUUAAAACAACGUAGUAAUAACAGCUCAUCAGAAGAUCCGUACGGUACAACAAGGAAACAGGGUAGAAUUGAAAGAUAGCUCAUAGCUCAUACCUCACGGCUAGCUUUUCUGGGUCUUCAAAGAUGUCCUUCUUGAAGCUUGACCUGCUCCUUGUCUCAAUUCUGUCUGUAAGCUGCUUAUGGACACAAGUACUUGUUUCUGCUACUCUGCCUCGAGCUGAAGGUUCGGCUGAUAAAAUUUUCUUUUUAUUUUCAAUAUCCCCUUCUUCAUGAUAUCUUGUAACCAGUUGUAGCUUAUGUUUCAUUUCUCUCUCUCUCUCUCUCUCUCUCUCUCUCUCUCUCGGUAUUAGUAGUGUAUUAUUCUCAGAAAUAAAGAAUAAAACAUUGUUAAGAGCCUAAGAUGAUAAUUGAAUUGAGGAUCAGCGAUCUUACAAUGGUCAGAUUAGUGACAUUCAUAAUAUUAUUAAAAAAAUUAAAAAUAGAACUUCAAAAUUUGGUGACUGGUCGAAUUCAGAACUGUUAUUUUCACCAAGUUCUGAUGUUUAAUUGAGAGAUGCUUCUUUGUGCAUGUAGUUGAUGCGCUCAAUCAAAUUGCCAAAACAAUGGGAGCUAGGGACUGGACGUUUGAUGCUAAUGCUUGUGACCUGAAUGAGACACCAAUAGUGCUGGAAGAAGGUCCCACCAGGAUCAUUACUUGCAACCUUGGAAUCGAUAAUACAAGCCACAUUACUGAAAUGUAGGUUCUUUUUUUGUCAUUUUAUAAAAUUUGAACCGGCAUAUUUUUAUUUUUCAGUUUUGUGUUUAGGUUGAUGUGAAGGACCAAUUUUGGGUAUCUUUUGUUUUCCAUUUUCAGACAAUUCAAACGUUGCAACCUUUCUGGAACACUUCCACGAGAAUUGGUCCAGCUUCCUUCCAUCCAGAAAGUGUGAGUUGAAUAGUCUCUAAUCUAAUGCAUUGGGAGAUUAAACUUAUAAAUAAAUUAAUCAUUUUUGUUAAUUUGCAGUGAUUUUGCCUACAACUACCUAAAUGGUUCCAUACCAGUCGAAUGGGCUUUGUUGCAGUUGAAGUUCAUGUAAGCUAUAUCUAAUUCUCUCUAAUCAGGUUAAGCAGUUAGCAUUCUACUUGUUUCAUAGAGUUAAUUGAUCGUCAAUAAUCUUAAUGCAGCUCUGUUUUUGGAAACCGGUUAUCAGGCAAUAUUCCAAGCCAUUUGGCGAACAUUACCAGUCUCACGUACUUGUAAGCUAUCAAUUCUUGGUUUAUGCAAACAUAUUUAGGCCACUGAUGUAAAUGAUAACUAAUUUAUUCCCUUUGUAAUCUGAAUGGGUCUAAUUUGCCAGGGACAUUGAAGCAAACCAAUUCUCGGGAACCGUACCUGAGGAGUUCAGGAAAUUAGUAAACUUGGAAACUCUGUAAGGCAUUGUCAAGCUUUUUUGUGGCUGAUAUUUGUUCAUGAUCAAUGUAAUCAUUUGGACCAUAAAUUGUCAUGGUUACAGGAGACUGUCCUCCAAUCAGUUGAGUGGAAGUUUGCCGACGGGACUAGCUGAGCUAAAAAAUUUAACUAACUUGUAAGCCUUCUUGAUUAGUGUCAGAUCAUGCUCAAAAUUUAUCAGAGGUAUAAGCUGUACUCAUUCUCAUUGCACAUUGCAGUAGGAUCAGCGACAACAACUUCAAUGGGAGUAUACCAGAAUUUAUACAAAACUGGAAGCAACUUGAGAGACUGUACGAUCAUCUACAUUACAAAGAUUUCUCAUCUUACAUUCUGGUUCUUGAUUGUUCUUGAUUUGUUAAUUUGAGUUGAUGCAGAGAAAUGCAAGGUAGUGGAUUCGAUGGACCCAUUCCGUCAUCCAUCUCUGUCUUGGAAAAUCUGAAACAAUUGUGAGUAAAUAUUUCUCUACUUGUCAAUUACAAUAAUCAGAAUGAUUUAAUACAUCAAUUUAUAUGAUUAAUUUAUUAUAUUUAACGAUACUAAAAGGAUCUGUUAAUUAUGGCACUCUAACAGGAGGAUUAGUGACAUAGCUGGAACAAAUCAUCUUUUUCCGGAUCUUAGAAAAAUGGCAGGCAUUAAAAGGAUGUAUGCUCAUUGGCUAUUUUCUAUCAUUUUGAUGGAGUAUGAUUAUUCGCCUUAUAAUUAUCUUACAGGAUUAAUGUUGGAUUUUCAGAAUUUUGAGAAACUGUGGUAUUUCUGGGGAGUUUCCUGAAUAUAUCUGGCGAAUGAAUAAUCUGCGAAUUUUGUAAGUAUGCUACAUUCUUUGUUUUCUAAUGCAGAAAUUAAAUACUUGAAAAUGAAAGCAAAAUUCCGGGUUUACAUUCAUGAAAAGUAACACCAACUAGUAAUGUAGUAUUCUUCUAUACCUUGCAGCUGCCAUAGCAGCAAUAGAGUUGAAGCAUCAGCACUUACAGGCCAGUUAAUGUAUUUACAUGGAUAAUCAUUAUCUUUUGAAUUUGGUUUGGACAGGGAUCUCAGUUUUAAUAGGCUAACCGGGAAAAUUCCCAAUGUUGCAACUCCACCGAGUUUGAAAUUCAUGUAAGUUAAUGAAAUCAACUGUCUGGAUUUACAAUGUUAAUUAUGUGAUGUCCAACUCAUUAACCACCUGAUACGGCCUUGGUCAGCUUUCUAACUGGCAACUUUCUCAGCGGGAACAUACCAGCGUCGAUCUUGAGGAAAGGAACUAAUGUGUGUGUAUCUUAUCACCUGGAUGCCUUGAGUUUUACUUAUUUUAGUGAUUUAUGUUCAUAUAUAUUUGCAAUCUGUUGAUUUACUAUAUAGUAACCAUAUGUAACUUUGUAAUCCUGUUUCUAAAGAGACCAUAUUAAACAUCAAUUUUGUUAAAUAAAUAAUCUUAUGCAUGAAAUUUCCUUCAUUGCUUCUUUCUUGCAUGCAGGGAUCUGUCAUAUAAUAAUUUCACUCAUCAAAACCCUGAGCAGCCUGCUUGUCGGGAGAUACAGUCAGUAUAUUUCCCUCUCUAUGUUAAAUAAAUAAUCUUCUCCGCUUGUAAUAUCACUUGGUAUAUCUGAGUGCUGAUAUUUGCUUUGUCUCCCGUUAUUUCGUUAGGAAUCUAAAUCUGAACCUGUUCCGAAGUUCUUCUGGGCACAGCAAUUUGUAUGUUGCUUUUCAUGCUUUCUUAUUAUUGUAGCUUAUGUGACAGAUUUAACAACCAAUGUAUAAAGAAGUUUUAAAAAUAUACAGUCAUUUUAUCAUCCAAUAAAUAAGAAGCAACGUGUAUUUUUAGAUUAGACAAUGUAAUGUCUACUAAUAUUCUCUUUUUCCUUGACUAAAAACCAGAAGUGGAGUUCUUCCAUGUAAGAAUAAUUUCAAAUGCGAUCGAUGUAAGUAUACUCUACUAUCAGUAAGUCACCAUAAAAUCUAUAUCUCGAAUAUGUUGACUUUUAGAAUCACAAAUAGUUGGUAGCCUAGCUAUUAAUAAUAUCAUAUUCAAAUCAACUUCAAUUCUUCUGUUUAUUUUUUAAUUGUCAGUUCAUUUCUGGUUUCUUGAAAACUCAUUGCUCAGAUAGUCUUUAACAUUCUUUUUUCUCGGCAGAUUGGCACUCACUGCACAUUAAUUGUGGUGGAAAUGAAGUAAAAGUAAAUGGCAGCACAUUUGAAGGAGAUGGACAAAUUGGUGGUGGUGCUGCAACAUACCAUUCAGAAGAUGAUACUAACUGGGGUUUUAGUAGCAGUGGAGACUUCACUGAUGAUGAUGAUGAACAAAACAGACGUUACAUUGCAACUCCUGACUCAUCAAACCUUUCUGAACUAUACAUUAAUGCACGCAUUGCUCCUCUUUCACUUACUUACUUUGGAUAUUGUUUAGACAACGGAAAUUAUACUUUGAGUCUACACUUUGCGGAGGUCCAGUUCAGUAAUGGAAUUACAUUUCACAGCCUGGGAAGGCGUCUAUUUGAUAUUUAUAUUCAGGUAAUUAAUCAGAAUCAGGAAAUAGAUUUUCAUCGGACACAUUUCUCUCUGUGAGUUCUUGGGAGACAGUUGUGCUAUUGAGUAAUAUGAUGGAUGAUUCUCAAUAUGUUUCUCUGGAUUGUCUUGUUUCAGGACAAACAAGUUGAGAGGAAUUUCGAUAUAAAAGCUGAAGCUUCUGGGGCUCUUAAGCCAGUUGCAAGAUCCUAUAAUGUCACUGUUACAAAUCACAUUAUAGAGAUCCGUUUCCAUUGGGCUGGAAAAGGGACUACGGCACUUCCUAAAAGGGGAGUUUAUGGCCCCCUAGUAUCAGCUAUUUCAUUGAAUGACCCCAGUGAGUCCUUUUCAUCCCUUAUUCUGUUUUCAAAAUCGACUAACAUUAUAAUACGUUGCGAAGUCCGGAUUUUUAGUAACACAAUUUCAAAUGUUCUUUUUUGAAGUUUAACUCUCUACGAUUGUACAUUAGAAAAAAACCAAAAUUCAGAUAUUUAGUUUGUUUGCAGCCAUUUUCUUACAUAUCCAUUUUAUGUGAAAGGAAAAAGAAAAUCUCCAUAAGUUAUUAAGCCUAUCAAUGUAGUUUUGAAUUUUUUUUCAUGCCCACACGUUUCUGUAAUGCAUUCGUUCCAUGUUUUCACAUGCUUCUGAUAAUCCUGCUUCAUGGAUUCUCCUUGGCAGACUUCAAACCUGAAAAGAAGAAGGUAGUGCCGAUUGUUGUUGGAGUAGUUGCAGGAUUAUCUCUCAUAAUCUUGGCGUUCGGUAUCCUCGGUUGGAGGUACUAUUUGAGAACCAAGAGGCGCAAAGAAAGAGGUGUGGGCUUCUUUUAGAUAAAAAUUAAAAAAUGCUUCAGUUUGCUACUCAACAUUUAUUCACAAUCAUUUUCUUUUUCAUUAUAAUAAUCAAAAUAGUAUCUUUAUAACAGCAUUAACUUUAUGUAAGCAUGUGAAGACAUUUAGGUUCAAACUACAUGCUGAUGCUCAUUUUGACCAUCCACAUUAAAUUUAGUAAGGAAAUAACUUAAUGAAUCCAGAAACUCAUCUAGAGGCUAAAGCACACUUGUCUCUCUUUAUUUGGACAGGUUUUAUGAAAGAGUCGGAUCUCCAAACAAUUUCUUUUACCUUAAAACAAAUUAAAGCUGCAACUAACAAUUUUGAUUCUGCAAAGAAGAUUGGAGAAGGUGGAUUUGGACCUGUGUACAAGGUAUAUUGGCCAACCUUUUGCCCCUAAUCAUCCUCUUAACACAAAAUUUCCUUCAAUGGUUACUUAAAAUUUGUACAUUUCUUUUUUCAUAACUGGGAUGCAGGGUCAACUAGCAGAUGGUACUAUAAUUGCUGUGAAGCAACUCUCUUCAAAAUCAAGGCAGGGGAAUCGUGAAUUCUUAAAUGAGAUAGCCAUGAUUUCGUGCUUGCAACACCCAAAUCUUGUUAAAAUUCAUGGCUGUUGUGUUGAAGGGGAUCAACUCUUGCUAGUAUAUGAAUACAUGGAAAACAGCAGCCUUGCCCGUGCUUUGUUUGGUAAGUUUAGUCUAGUAAAACAAGAAGCAAAUGUUACAUACAGGUAUAUUAUGUUUCAUAUUCUGUAGGGAUGUUUCUGAUUGGAUUUGGAAUGGUUAUUGUAUUUUUAAGGUCGUGAAAACUGUGAACUGGAAUUGGACUGGCCGACCAGGCAGAAGAUCUGUCUUGGCAUAGCCAGGGGGUUAGCUUUUCUUCAUGAAGAAUCAAGAUUCAAAAUUGUUCACAGAGACAUCAAAGCUACAAAUGUUCUGCUAGAUAGGGAUUUAAACCCCAAAAUAUCAGAUUUUGGACUAGCUAAGCUUGAUGAGGAGGAUAAAACCCACAUCAGCACUCGCAUUGCUGGAACCAUGUAAGCCUCAUUUCACGUCUCUCAUUUAAAACUGAUAAUUUUGUUAUUGUUUCAGUGUAAUACAAAAUUGAUAAUUUUGACUUCAGAGGAUACAUGGCACCAGAAUAUGCACUCUGGGGCUAUUUGACCUACAAAGCAGAUGUUUACAGUUUUGGGAUCGUGGCCUUGGAAAUUGUUAGUGGGAAAAAUAAUAUGAGUUAUGCUUCAGCUCUGGAGUUCGACUGCACUUGUCUUCUCGAUUGGGUCAGCAACUAACUCAUAUAAUUCACCUUCUGCAUUUUCAUUUCUGUGGUUGUUGUGUCUUCUCUAAUGCUAUGUUUUGGUUUGGGUAGGCCUGUCAUCUUCAGCUAGAUGGAAAGUUAGUGGAGCUAGUGGAUGAAAGGCUAGGAUCAAAAUACAACAAGGAAGAAGCAGAAAGGAUGAUCAAAGUAUCUCUUUUGUGCACAAAUGCUUCGCCGUCACUAAGGCCAACAAUGUCGGAAGUGGUGAACAUGCUGGAAGGAAAAACUGCCAUACCAGAUAUGAUACCAGAAGCUGGAAGUUAUAGUCAAGAUUUGAGGUUCAAAGCCUUGAGAGACCAAAAGGGGCUGAGGCGUAGUCAGAAUUCGACAGCAACUCAGUCCCAGCAUUCAAUAUCAGCUGAGUUCAAUCAGGCCUCUUCCUCUACUUCGGCUGCCCAAGAUCUCUAUGAAAUUAAUGAGGAGUCAUAUAAGAAGUAUAAAGUCAUUAGAGACGGUUAUAAGCUGAUCCAAGGCAUGAAUUCAGAGGUACAGCUUUCAACGACUAUGCCCUCAUGAACUGCCUAUGAUCUUUACAACCAUAAUUCAUCGAGUUCCUAGAAACAUACAUCAUUUUUGGUGUUGUCAAUUCCGCAGUUCCUUUUUCAUUUUUUGAAAAUAUGUGUGUAUAUACACAUCUAUGUUAUUGUGCAUUUUGUUACCUUGGUGACUGUAAGAUUACAAACUAACUAUACAUUUGGAGUCCACAAAACAAAUGUGAAAAGAACAACUUUGAUGAUUGCUGGCUUCCUCAAUAAUUUUAGAGGCGCACGCAACCAUUUCCAAUCUGAUUGGCCCUAGCUGGCUGCCAUGUCUAGCGGCUCACAUCCGUCCUGCUUUUGAAAAACAGCAGCGAUGAAUGUAUAAAAAUUAGUUAAAAAAAUAGCACCUCACUAUUAAAAGAUAAAAGAAAUUCACUAUAAAAUUAAAAAAAUAUAUUAUGUUACAAGAUAUGUUUUGGAGUCUCCCAUGCUAUUCGUGCUCAAUUUCGAUACGAACGCUACUAUUCCUAUUAAAAACCUAUAAUGUCAAAUUGGGCUUAAAAUAUCUAAUUUGACCAUUCUACAUAAGAUCUAUUACUCAUCCACAUUUUAAUCUUAUAACUCUAAAACAAAUAAUAUAAUUUUCUGAAUCAAUAUCAAAUUGACAGUUUGACACUAACUAUUCAUAUAUUUGAGCUAUCAAUGAUCAAUGAGUGUCCAAACGAUUCACUUCGCUCCAUUCUACAGCAGCGAAGGAAUCUGAAACCUUAUCAUUGAUUUGACAAAUGCAAUAACCGGCCCUUUCUGUUAGAGUUACUAUCAUUAGUCAUACAAAAUGUUAAACGUUGAUUCCUAUUAAAAAAAAGAAAAAAAGUAAAGGUAUUCGUAUUGCAUGCUCAUGCAUGCACGGAAAGGUGAAUUGAAAGUAAUUAAGAUGGCUGUUUAAUCUUCACUUUUCAACAUUUUGACUAAAGAAAUAUUGGAUGUGCGUGCAUACAGCAUAUUUUAUUUAUGGAGCUGCAUAAUAUUCUAACCUUUUCUACUGUGUAAAUCAAAAAGUAAGGACAAAGGAGAAGAGAACGAUUGGAUGACGUUGGCUGCUAGAGGCAGAAAGAGAGCUGCUCUGCUCAAGGCAUAUUUUGGGUACAAACUUGAAUACAGAUUCCUAUUUUGGGUUUUGCGAAAAUGCUCUUCUUCUUCAAACGUUUUCUACUUCCUGUGCUGGUUAUGAGUUGCUUUUGGGCUCAAAUUUUUGCUGCUGCUAAACUGCCUCGACAUGAAGGUAAGUUCAAAUUUUUGCAAUUUUAGUACAGAUUUUCACUUUUACCAAGUAGGAUCUACUUCGAUUAGUAGGUUUUGAUUGUGUUGGCAGUUGGUUUGAUCCUAUCUCUGAAUAAUUACUUUAUCAAGAUAGUAAAAACCCAGAAUCUCAAAUAUUCUUUUAAAAGCAUUAUUAGCAGAUUUUUUUUUUUUUUAACUUUUAAAUUUUCUGAUGAUGAUGAUGAAAAUGCAGUUGAUGUUCUCAAUCAGAUAGCUCAAACAAUGGGAGCCACUAACUGGACUUUCGGUUCUGAUGCUUGUGAAGAUCACGUCACUAUAAAACAGAUUGUAUUAACAGAUCCUUUGAGAAACAUAACCUGCAACUGCCAAUUUCAGAAUGAAACCUGCCACAUUAUUGCCAUGUAAGUUAGUUGCCUUGAUUCUCUCACGAAUUAGAUGAAAGUAUUUGUAGCAUUCUUUCAAAGAGGAAUCUUGGUCACACAGUGUCAAUUUUUAAUGUAGUAACAAAAAAGUCUGAAAAUUGCUAUUGCCCAUUAAUGGAGUGUGAAAAGUGCUGUUUUUGCGAAAAGGAAAUUUCUUUUCCCAUAAAAUAAUCUGGUUUUGCUUUACUUUUUCGCGGAAUUCAUGCGUUUCAGCCUUCGAGGAACUCUCCCACCUCAAAUUGUCAAUCUUCCUUACCUCGAAAAUGUGUAAGAUUGUACACAACUUUCAGCAAUGCAUAUUUAUUCUAAUUUUAUUGUUCGCUAAUUUUUUAUGCAUUUGGGAUUGAUACCCAAUUUUGUUGAGAGGGUUUCUGUGAAUGCUUGUGAAAGAACUUUAAAAGCACUUGCUGAUGCUUCUCCAUAAAGCAUUUCCAGUACAUUUUUGACCCUCUAAGCAUUUUCUAGAAAUCAUCUACAAGUGCUUCCUCACAAGGAAUUUUGCAUUUUUGUUUAUUUUAGACUAAUGCUACCAAAAAAUAGACCCAUGCCAAAAAUGUAACUAAAUGCACCCCUAUUAGUCUACUGCAUUAUGAAUAUCUUCGUUUCCUUCUUUCUUUUACAGACCAAUUUGUAAAUUUGAUUGAUAUUGUUGUGGAAUGCAGUGAUUUUGCUUACAACUAUCUGCAUGGUUCGAUACCACGUGAAUGGGCCUCGAUGCAACUGAAGUAUAUGUAAGCUAUAUCUACAUCUUUCAAUCGGUCGAGAAAAUAAAAUUUUGUUUGUCUCACUGAAUUAACCAUAUUGGAAUUGUCCAUGCAGCUCUGUUUUUGCAAACCGAUUGUCAGGCAAUAUUCCAAGCCAUUUGGGGAACAUUACUAGUCUCACACUUGUCUCUCUUAAUUUGGACAGGUUUUAUGAAAGAGUCGGAUCUCCAAACAAUUUCUUUUACCUUAAAACAAAUUAAAGCUGCAACUAACAAUUUUGAUUCUGCAAAGAAGAUUGGAGAAGGUGGAUUUGGACCUGUGUACAAGGUAUAUUGGCCAACCUUUUGCCCCUAAUCAUCCUCUUAACACAAAAUUUCCUUCAAUGGUUACUUAAAAUUUGUACAUUUCUUUUUUCGUAACUGGGAUGCAGGGUCAACUAGCAGAUGGUACUAUAAUUGCUGUGAAGCAGCUCUCUUCAAAAUCAAGGCAGGGGAAUCGUGAAUUCUUAAAUGAGAUAGCCAUGAUUUCGUGUUUGCAACACCCAAAUCUUGUUAAAAUUCAUGGCUGUUGUGUUGAAGGGGAUCAACUCUUGCUAGUAUACGAAUACAUGGAAAACAACAGCCUUGCCCAUGCUUUAUUCGGUAAGUGUAAUCUAUUAUUGAUUGCUUGAUUGAUUAUGUGAGAGGAAAAUAAAAUAGUAACUUAGAAACACUAUACAAGUUAUAUAACAAUCUAUUAUUCUCCCUAGUAAUAUCUCUUGGAAUGGUCAUGUUAAGGUGGUGAAAACAGUCGACUGAAAUUGAACUGGUCAGUGAGGCAGAAGAUCUGCCUUGGGAUAGCCAGAGGUUUAGCUUUUCUACAUGAAGAAUCCAGAUUCAAGAUAGUUCAUAGAGACAUCAAAGCUACGAAUGUUCUGCUAGAUAGAGAUUUAAACCCCAAAAUAUCUGACUUUGGACUGGCUAAGCUUGAUGAGGAGGAGAAAACUCACAUCAGUACUCGAGUUGCUGGAACAAUGUAAGCUACAUGUCUCUCUUUUCAAUGACAUUUUGUCACUGUUUUAACAUCAAAACUCAUGAUAAUUUGAUAUGCAGAGGAUAUAUGGCACCCGAGUACGCUCUAUGGGGUUACCUGACCUACAAAGCAGAUGUUUACAGUUUCGGAGUUGUGGCUUUGGAAAUUGUCAGUGGGAAGUAUAAUAUGAGUUAUGUGCCAGACAGUAAUUGCAGCUGUCUUCUUGACUGGGUAUGAGAUUAACUAAAUUUUUAUUCUUUAGGAGUACAUGUAACUCCAUUUUAGUGGGGACAUGUUUGUUUGUUUGUUAUUUAUUUAUUUGGGACAACAGUUGUGGCAUGAGUUUAAAUCCAAUAAAUGUAGAUUUUUUAACAUAAUUGUCUCGGUUAUGUAUUUCCCUGGCCUUCCAUUUACAUCGAAGUGGUACGUUAAUGGAGUUAGUGGAUCCAAGGCUCGGAUCAGAAUUCAACAAGGUUGAAGCAGAGAAAAUGAUUAAAGUAGCACUCUUGUGCACCAAUGUGUCACCUUCACUAAGGCCAACCAUGUCUGAAGUGGUAAGCAUGCUGGAAGGAUCUUCUAACAUUCCGGAUGUAAUCCCUGAAGCCGGUGGUUUGAGUGAAGACUUGAGGUUUAAAACUCUAAGAGACCAUCCAAGAGAAAUGAAUAGUUCGGGUUUGGAAGGAAGUCUGUCUCGUUAUUCAUCGUCAGCCAGCUUCUUGCCUGGUUCUUCCAGCUUCUUGCAUGGUUCUUCCCCUACCGAUGAUGUCCGUGAAAUUAAUGCAGAGGCAUAUUUGAAGUUUAAGGCCAUGAGAGACAGUCAUAUUCAUAUGGAAAGACAAAGUUCGGUUGCCCAAGUAUCAACACCGGUCCCCUCAUGGACUGGCUCUUCAAAAUCUGCCCAUGAUCUUCACAACACAAUUCGAGUUCAGCGGAUGUGCAAAAUCAUCCGCCAGCUAGUUUCAAGUUUCAACAUUCAACUUUUUUGUAACCUACGUCUAUGUGUCAUACCUUCUCGCAUCAUCUUUGUAUCUAAAAUUUUCAGCAAGUACGUACUAUAGAAGUCAUGUUUGUGUGUUUGGAGGAAAGAGUUACCAUUUUUCUGGAGUUGUUGAAAUUACGUGGUUUUAAGGUUGAUGCGAAAACCCAUAGUUUUGGGGAAAAAAAGGAAAGAUAGCAGAACGCCACGUGUCAACGAAUGGA
Molecule: long non-coding RNA, 17120 nt
Filed under: Citrus x clementina
Lineage: Eukaryota; Viridiplantae; Streptophyta; Magnoliopsida; Sapindales; Rutaceae
Description: Citrus clementina (C. clementina) long non-coding RNA (CCLE_LNC005749)
Source: RNAcentral